RNAcentral lists this ribosomal RNA (373 nucleotides) under uncultured bacterium. RNAcentral's name for it is "bacterial SSU rRNA". It matches the Rfam family "Bacterial small subunit ribosomal RNA", at positions 527 to 898 of the family's 1533-position model. The record is from RNAcentral.
GUAGGGGGCAAGCGUUGUCCGGAAUCAUUGGGCGUAAAGCGCGUGUAGGCGGCCAGAUAAGUCCGCUGUGAAAUCUCGAGGCUCAACUUCGAGCUGUCGGUGGAAACUGUCUGGCUAGAGUCCGGAAGAGGAGAGUGGAAUUCCUGGUGUAGCGGUGAAAUGCGCAGAUAUCAGGAAGAACACCCGUGGCGAAGGCGGCUCUCUGGGACGGUACUGACGCUGAGACGCGAAAGCGUGGGGAGCGAACAGGAUUAGAUACCCUGGUAGUCCACGCCGUAAACGAUGGGUGCUAGGUGUGGGCGGUGUCGACUCCGUCCGUGCCGAAGCUAACGCAUUAAGCACCCCGCCUGGGGAGUACGGCCGCAAGGCUAAA